UGAAUACGAGAUGCUACGGCGUCGAAGCAGUGUAUGUCAGACUUCCAAGAAAAGCUCGCAAUGUCAUAAAUAAAGAAUGCCUGUACCAUAACCGACACAGGUGGGUAGGUAGAGUAUACUAAGGGGCGCGAGAUAACUCUCUCUAAGGAACUCGGCAAAAUAACUCCGUAACUUCGGGAGAAGGAGUGCCUUCUUUAAGAAGGUUGCAAUAACAAGAUCCAAGCAACUGUUUAUCAAAAACACAGGUCUCCGCUAAGUCGUAAGACGAUGUAUGGGGGCUGACGCCUGCCCAGUGCCAGAAGGUUAAAGAAGUUGGUUAGCUUUUGCGAAGCUGAUGACUGAAGCCCUGGUGAACGGCGGCCGUAACUAUAACGGUCCUAAGGUAGCGAAAUUCCUUGUCGGGUAAGUUCCGACCCGCACGAAAGGCGUAAUGAUUUGGAUACUGUCUCGGAGAGGGACUCGGUGAAAUAGACUUGUCUGUGAAGAUGCGGACUACCUGCACCAGGACAGAAAGACCCUAUGAAGCUUUACUGUAACUUGAAAUUGAAAUUGGACUUUAUUUGCGCAGUAUAGGUGGAAGGCGUUGAAAGUAAUCUUGCGGGAUUAGUGGAGCCAUCAGUGAGAUACCACUCCUAUAAUGUUAGAUUUCUAACUUUGGAUCAUGAUCUGGUCAAAGAACAGUUUCAGGCGGGCAGUUUGACUGGGGCGGUCGCCUCCCAAAUGGUAACGGAGGCGUACAAAGGUUUCCUCUGAACGGGUAGAAAUCGUAUCUAGAGUGUAAAGGCAUAAGGAAGCUUGACUGUGAGACCUACAAGUCGAGCAGGGACGAAAGUCGGUCUUAGUGAUCUGACGGUGCUGAGUGGAAAGGCCGUCACUCAACGGAUAAAAGUUACUCUAGGAUAACAGGCUGAUCUCCCCCAAGAGUUCACAUCGACGGGGAGGUUUGGCACCUCGAUGUCGGCUCAUCGCAUCCUGGGGCGGUAGUACGUCCCAAGGGUUGGGCUGUUCGCCCAUGAAAGCGGUACGCGAGCUGGGUUCAGAACGUCGUGAGACAGUUCGGUCCAUAUCCGGUGUAGGCGUUAGAAUAUUGAGAGGAGCCUUCUUUAGUACGAGAGGACCGAGAAGGACAUACCUCUGGUGUACCAGUUAUCGUGCCAACGGUAAACGCUGGGUAGCUAUGUAUGGAGAGGAUAACCGCUGAAAGCAUCUAAGUGGGAAGCCCACCUCGAGAUGAGUAUUCUCAG
This 1244-nucleotide ribosomal RNA is filed under the name metagenome. Its description in RNAcentral is "bacterial LSU rRNA". It matches the Rfam family "Bacterial large subunit ribosomal RNA", at positions 1564 to 2817 of the family's 2925-position model. The record is from RNAcentral.